RNAcentral lists this ribosomal RNA (497 nucleotides) under uncultured bacterium. RNAcentral's name for it is "partial 16S ribosomal RNA". It matches the Rfam family "Bacterial small subunit ribosomal RNA", at positions 28 to 507 of the family's 1533-position model. The record is from RNAcentral.
GAUGAACGCUGGCGGCGUGCCUAAUGCAUGCAAGUCGAGCGAACAGACGAGGAGCUUGCUCCUCUGACGUUAGCGGCGGACGGGUGAGUAACACGUGGAUAACCUACCUAUAAGACUGGGAUAACUUCGGGAAACCGGAGCUAAUACCGGAUAACAUGUUGAACCGCAUGGUUCAAUAGUGAAAGACGGUUUUGCUGUCACUUAUAGAUGGAUCCGCGCCGCAUUAGCUAGUUGGUAAGGUAACGGCUUACCAAGGCAACGAUGCGUAGCCGACCUGAGAGGGUGAUCGGCCACACUGGAACUGAGACACGGUCCAGACUCCUACGGGAGGCAGCAGUAGGGAAUCUUCCGCAAUGGGCGAAAGCCUGACGGAGCAACGCCGCGUGAGUGAAGAAGGUCUUCGGAUCGUAAAACUCUGUUAUUAGGGAAGAACAAAUGUGUAAGUAACUAUGCACGUCUUGACGGUACCUAAUCAGAAAGCCACGGCUAACUACGUG